This 782-nucleotide ribosomal RNA is filed under the name uncultured Arthrobacter sp. Its description in RNAcentral is "bacterial SSU rRNA". It matches the Rfam family "Bacterial small subunit ribosomal RNA", at positions 73 to 866 of the family's 1533-position model. The record is from RNAcentral. Lineage: Bacteria; Bacillati; Actinomycetota; Actinomycetes; Micrococcales; Micrococcaceae.
UGGGAGCUUGCUCCUGGAUUAGUGGCGAACGGGUGAGUAACGCGUGAGUAACCUGCCCUUAACUCUGGGAUAAGCCUGGGAAACUGGGUCUAAUACCGGAUAUGACUCCUCAUCGCAUGGUGGGGGGUGGAAAGCUUUAUUGUGGUUUUGGAUGGACUCGCGGCCUAUCAGCUUGUUGGUGAGGUAAUGGCUUACCAAGGCGACGACGGGUAGCCGGCCUGAGAGGGUGACCGGCCACACUGGGACUGAGACACGGCCCAGACUCCUACGGGAGGCAGCAGUGGGGAAUAUUGCACAAUGGGCGCAAGCCUGAUGCAGCGACGCCGCGUGAGGGAUGACGGCCUUCGGGUUGUAAACCUCUUUCAGUAGGGAAGAAGCGAAAGUGACGGUACCUGCAGAAGAAGCGCCGGCUAACUACGUGCCAGCAGCCGCGGUAAUACGUAGGGCGCAAGCGUUAUCCGGAAUUAUUGGGCGUAAAGAGCUCGUAGGCGGUUUGUCGCGUCUGCCGUGAAAGUCCGGGGCUCAACUCCGGAUCUGCGGUGGGUACGGGCAGACUAGAGUGAUGUAGGGGAGACUGGAAUUCCUGGUGUAGCGGUGAAAUGCGCAGAUAUCAGGAGGAACACCGAUGGCGAAGGCAGGUCUCUGGGCAUUAACUGACGCUGAGGAGCGAAAGCAUGGGGAGCGAACAGGAUUAGAUANCCUGGUAGUCCAUGCCGUAAACGUUGGGCACUAGGUGUGGGGGACAUUCCACGUUUUCCGCGCCGUAGCUAACGCAUUAAGUG